UCUAACGUCAAUCCUCUUUUCUAUUUACUAGUAUUAUUUGUUCUUAUAAGUAUAAUAUAUGAAUAAAAAUAUACUUAUUCAGUCACGUCUGUUGAUAAACAGUCGUAAAAUACAAAUAAAAUCGCUCCAAAUAAUAACACAGUGUGCAAAAUAAUCGUAGUUUCACAAUGCUGAAAACGCAGCCCCUCACUAUUCUUUUAUUUAUGCUAUUUUUUCAGGUGAAGUUGCACAAUUCGGAGCCCAUUUUAAAUGACGCGAUAACAUUUCUAGAACACAUGACUCCAGUUAGUAUAAGCACAUCAACAGCCGCCAUCGUUUCAGAGCUGGAAAAACAGGUUAUCCGUCAAAAACAUGGCGACAGAAAAGUGAAGCGAUAUUUCAGCAAAUUUGAUUCUCCUUUCACCACAUCAAGAAACCACCAUCAUAAAAAAUACAAAUAACUAAAUUUAAAUCUCGCGUGUUCCUCCAGUUUCAUUUGGAGCUGUGAAGCCGCGAAACCUGGAGACAGCGUAAGAAGUGCAUUUAAAAAUUUCGGAAAUUCGGCUGUGAUUUUGAAAUGGGCCGCGCCUGCCUGAUGUCAACCCCCUUUGGCAAUGCUAUUAUUUGCCUAUCGGUUGCCUAAUUAUAUGUACCCCUUAGUCGUCUUGUCCGACAUCCAAUUAUAGAAUAGUUAUUCUUAUUCUAGGACGGGAUCCGUCAUAAAUAGGUACCUAACUAAAUUUAAGUAACAGCUACUUAAGUUAUUAUAAGACAUAAUUUUAAUGAGUUUCAUCAUAAUAAGCACCAAAUCACUCGUAUAUAAUAAGCACCAAAGUUUUUAUUAACUAAUAAAAAUUG
Molecule: long non-coding RNA, 837 nt
Organism: Plodia interpunctella (Indianmeal moth)
Lineage: Eukaryota; Metazoa; Arthropoda; Insecta; Lepidoptera; Pyralidae
Exons: 3
Source: RefSeq, a predicted model, not a curated record